GAAGAACUUACCUGGCCUUGACAUCUACGGAAUUCUGCAGAGAUGCGGAAGUGCCUUCGGGAACCGUAAGACAGGUGCUGCAUGGCUGUCGUCAGCUCGUGUCGUGAGAUGUUGGGUUAAGUCCCGCAACGAGCGCAACCCUUGUCCUUAGUCGCCAUCAUUAAGUUGGGAACUCUAAGGAGACUGCCGGUGACAAACCGGAGGAAGGUGGGGAUGACGUCAAGUCAUCAUGGCCUUUAUGGCCAGGGCUACACACGUGCUACAAUGGCAGGUACAGAGGGAAGCCAACUCGCGAGAGGGAGCCAAUCCCAGAAAGCCUGUCGUAGUCCGGAUCGGAGUCUGCAACUCGACUCUGUGAAGUCGGAAUCGCUAGUAAUCGCAGAUCAGCAUUGCUGCGGUGAAUACGUUCCCGGGUCUUGUACACACCG
This 428-nucleotide ribosomal RNA is filed under the name uncultured bacterium. Its description in RNAcentral is "bacterial SSU rRNA". It matches the Rfam family "Bacterial small subunit ribosomal RNA", at positions 963 to 1392 of the family's 1533-position model. The record is from RNAcentral.